Papaver somniferum (opium poppy) is the source of this 1006-nucleotide long non-coding RNA. RefSeq lists it as uncharacterized. The record is from RefSeq and is a predicted model, not a curated record. The transcript has 3 exons. NCBI's taxonomy places the organism in Eukaryota, Viridiplantae, Streptophyta, Magnoliopsida, Ranunculales, Papaveraceae.
UGGUCUUUCGUCUCCCUCUCUCUAGAAAAAACUUAGGAAUCUUAACAAAUCAGGGAUUUGUACAUUUUUUUCUGUGAAGCAACGGUUUCAAGUUGAUCACGUUCCAUUAAGCUAUUCCUUUCAAUUCAUAAAAGAGAAAUUAAAAGACUUCUCAUUUUCCACUACUGCAUAGAAUUGAUCUCUAAAAAUUUAUUCAACCCUCCUCUUUACAGGUUAACGAACUAACCCUCAUCCUAAAUUUCAAACCUGAUUACAAUUUCGAUGAGUUUUACAGGCUAACCAUGGCGGUCUUGAUAUUUUUGUAUGCAGUUUUAAAACUGAUAUUUUUGUAGAGCUUCUGACCCCACUUCAUUUCGUAAACCAAUAGGAAUCUAGGAUUUUGAUAUAUUUUCGUGGUUUUUUUUACGGCACACAAAAUGGGUAGAUGGUCAAUUACGCAAAACCAAACCAAACCCCCUAAUUCAAUUGUCUUCGCUUUUCCAUUCUCAUCUCUUUUUUAUGCCGUCACCACUGAUUCUAUUCUGAAACAGUGGGUAACCAAGAUCGAGAUCAUCUAACAAGUAUUAUUACUGUGAACAUUGGGUAAACAAGAUAUAUUCUCUUCGGUUUUCUAUUAUACAAUGUAUGAGGACUCACCUCUCCGUGUUUUCAUUAUUACGGAGAAACCCUAGCUCCGGGGGAGAUGCUGGAUUUAGUUCGCAUCAUUUGACUAGACAAAGAAUACAAUGAAAAAUUCUUACUGAAGGGGAAGCACAGCUGAAGGGGAUGAUGGAGCAGAAUUAUGACAGGUUUAGUUCAGGAUUGUCUACUCUAGCAAUAGAUGAUCCAAGGGGGAGGCUUACCCUUUCGUUAUCUAGGCCUGGCCAGGUUAAAUAAGUUCAUGAAAAUCAAUUCAAUUUUUUUUAAUGUAAUAGGAUUUAGCAUUCGUUAUCCUUCUAUUUGUCUAAAUACAUUCCAGUUUCUCAGUUAAUUCUAUUCCAUUUUUAUAUUGCUAAUCACUGGCCAU